This 541-nucleotide ribosomal RNA is filed under the name uncultured archaeon. Its description in RNAcentral is "bacterial SSU rRNA". It matches the Rfam family "Archaeal small subunit ribosomal RNA", at positions 458 to 997 of the family's 1478-position model. The record is from RNAcentral.
CCAGCCGCCGCGGUAACACCGGCGGCCCGAGUGGUGAUCGUGAUUAUUGGGUCUAAAGGGUCCGUAGCCGGUUUGGUCAGUCCUCCGGGAAAUCUGAUAGCUCAACUAUUAGGCUUUCGGGGGAUACUGCCAGACUUGGAACCGGGAGAGGUAAGAGGUACUACAGGGGUAGGAGUGAAAUCUUGUAAUCCCUGUGGGACCACCUGUGGCGAAGGCGUCUUACCAGAACGGGUUCGACGGUGAGGGACGAAAGCUGGGGGCACGAACCGGAUUAGAUACCCGGGUAGUCCCAGCCGUAAACGAUGCUCGCUAGGUGUCAGGCAUGGCGCGACCGUGUCUGGUGCCGCAGGGAAGCCGUGAAGCGAGCCACCUGGGAAGUACGGCCGCAAGGCUGAAACUUAAAGGAAUUGGCGGGGGAGCACAACAACGGGUGGAAGCCUGCGGUUUAAUUGGACUCAACGCCGGACAACUCACCGGGGGCGACAGCAAUAUGUAGGCCAAGCUGAAGACUUUGCCUGAAUCGCUGAGGGGUGGUGCAUGG